This 174-nucleotide small RNA is filed under the name Kerstersia gyiorum. Its description in RNAcentral is "Manganese sequence". It matches the Rfam family "Manganese Mn2+ riboswitch aptamer (yybP-ykoY)". Rfam says of the family: This RNA was originally discovered in E. coli during a large scale screen and was named SraF. The family was later found to exist upstream of related families of protein genes in many bacteria, including the the yybP and ykoK genes in B. subtilis. Lineage: Bacteria; Pseudomonadati; Pseudomonadota; Betaproteobacteria; Burkholderiales; Alcaligenaceae. The record is from Rfam by way of RNAcentral.
CCGCCGCAGUAAUGGGGAGUAGCCUACUUCCGCCCCAGGAAGCGCACGCGUCAACAUACUCGGUGAUAUCACCGUGGCGCGUGCAGCCAUAGCGCUCGGCGAGACCAUGAACACAACAGCCGGGUAGUCGUCGGGCCUGUCUGUUGUGUCCUGGUUUCCGACACACGCUAUGGU